GGUUGGAUGGCCGAGCGGUCUAAGGCGCCAGACUAAGGAUCCGCUUCCUCUUGGAGCUAAACUCAUCGCUACGUGUGGUGAUCUGGUCCGAAAGGGCGUGGGUUCGAAUCCCACUCCAAUCA
This is a non-coding RNA of Mycena albidolilacea, 122 nucleotides long. The record is from the annotation of a GenBank genome assembly. NCBI's taxonomy places the organism in Eukaryota, Fungi, Basidiomycota, Agaricomycetes, Agaricales, Mycenaceae.